AUUGAACGCUUGCGGUAUGCAUAACACAUGCAAGUCGUACGGCAGCACGGGCUAAGGCCUGGUGGCGAGUGGCGAACGGGUGAGUAACGCCCCGGAACGUGCCUUGUAGUGGGGGAUAGACUGGCGAAAGUCAGAGUAAUACCGCAUGAAGCCACGCAGCAUGCGCGGUGAAAGUGGGGGAUUCUAGCCUCACGCUACUGGAUCGGCCGGGGUCUGAUUAG
RNAcentral lists this ribosomal RNA (221 nucleotides) under uncultured bacterium. Its description in RNAcentral is "partial 16S ribosomal RNA". It matches the Rfam family "Bacterial small subunit ribosomal RNA", at positions 30 to 244 of the family's 1533-position model. The record is from RNAcentral.